GCAGUCAUCAACACAGAAGACUUCUGUGACCACAUGUGAGAAGUGUUUCUUUCCACUGCCAAGCAAGCAAUCAAGUCUGCGGUGGAUACCCACUGGGUGGCCUCCAAUUCAACUCCAACACUAUCUACCUGGAGAUAGCAUCAGAUCCCACAGGUUGAGGGCUCUGUCCCCAAGGCUGGCCCCCACCGCUGCUGGACACCAGCUGAUUAUAAAGUAUAUUACAGAUGAAGAGAUG
This 235-nucleotide long non-coding RNA is filed under the name Homo sapiens (human). RNAcentral describes it as "LHRI_LNC1476.1". The record is from RNAcentral. Lineage: Eukaryota; Metazoa; Chordata; Mammalia; Primates; Hominidae.